UAUAAACUUUUUCAAUUUUGUAAAGAUUUUGACCACAUCUUCAUAAUUAGUCACAGUUUCCUCAAAAACUCUAUAUAAACACAAGAUGAGUUUUAUGCCCUUUUUCAAAAAAAAACACACACAAGAUGAGCCAUUUCGAUUGGAGUUACAGGCUCCAUCCAAAAACACCAGAUUGUUUAUAGUUUCUAUUGCUUUUUUUAGUUUUUUUUUUAGUUUUUAGUUUAUUUAUGCAAUUCAGACUUUCUUGUAUUGUGAUUUUUUGUUGAUGAAUGAGUUUUUUUUUUGCUUGGGGAAGGGUUUAAAAUGAAAAUUUUAUGGUUUGGUAUAUAGAUUAAAAAGAAAAAAAUUUGGUAUAUAGAUUUGAUUUCUAAAAUGGCGAUAAUUUCUUUAUUGAUAUUUGGAUAAAUUUAUUUUUUACUGAGUAAAAGGUUUCAAAAUAGAAUUGGUUUCUAAAGUGGCGAUGAUUUCCUUGUUGAUGUUUGAGUAAUUUUUUGGGUUAGGUGAAGGGUUUAUAAAUGGAGUUUGUUUAUAGUUUGAUACAUAGAUUUGAUUUCUACAAACAUCAAAUCGAUCGUCUGUUAAUUUAUGAACCUAAUACAUGAUGUUACACUGUACAAUUUGUUCUGAUAUAUGAAAACCUAUCGUUUGAAUAUUAUUUGGCUGAUUCGUCAAAAUUAAAUUCGGCAAGCUGU
Molecule: long non-coding RNA, 692 nt
Filed under: Brassica rapa (field mustard)
Lineage: Eukaryota; Viridiplantae; Streptophyta; Magnoliopsida; Brassicales; Brassicaceae
Description: long non-coding RNA (BRAP_LNC002166)
Source: RNAcentral